This 253-nucleotide ribosomal RNA is filed under the name uncultured bacterium. RNAcentral describes it as "partial 16S ribosomal RNA". It matches the Rfam family "Bacterial small subunit ribosomal RNA", at positions 524 to 776 of the family's 1533-position model. The record is from RNAcentral.
UACGGAGGGUGCGAGCGUUGUCCGGAAUCAUUGGGCGUAAAGCGCGCGUAGGCGGCCCGGUAAGUCCGUUGUGAAAGUCAAAGGCUCAACCUUUGAAAGCCGAUGGAUACUGCCGGGCUGGAGUCCGGAAGAGGCGAGUGGAAUUCCUGGUGUAGCGGUGGAAUGCGCAGAUAUCAGGAGGAACACCAAUAGCGAAGGCAGCUCGCUGGGACGGUACUGACGCUGAGGCGCGAAAGCGUGGGGAGCGAACAGG